UACGUAUGGGGCAAGCGUUGUCCGGAAUCAUUGGGCGUAAAGAGCUCGUAGGCGGUUCGGCAAGUCGGAUGUGAAAUCUCCACGCUCAACGUGGAGGGGCCAUUCGAAACUGCCGUGACUCGAGUCCGGUAGGGGAGUGCGGAAUUCCCGGUGUAGCGGUGAAAUGCGCAGAUAUCGGGAGGAACACCAGUGGCGAAGGCGGCACUCUGGGCCGGAACUGACGCUGAGGAGCGAAAGCGUGGGGAGCGAACAGG
This 254-nucleotide ribosomal RNA is filed under the name uncultured bacterium. RNAcentral describes it as "partial 16S ribosomal RNA". It matches the Rfam family "Bacterial small subunit ribosomal RNA", at positions 524 to 776 of the family's 1533-position model. The record is from RNAcentral.